RNAcentral lists this non-coding RNA (977 nucleotides) under Bacillus methanolicus MGA3. Lineage: Bacteria; Bacillati; Bacillota; Bacilli; Caryophanales; Bacillaceae. The record is from RNAcentral.
AUAGUCACCCAAACCACAGACCGAUAAAUAAUAUUUUUGUAACUAAGUUAAUUUAAUGCGCCCAACGUUCGUACUUCCGAUACAUCCAAAUGGGCACCAUGCACCAUAUAAUCUACCGCCUGAUUGGCAGCUAGAUUUUCAAUUCAAGCACACGAAAAAUAACUAAGCAAAAAAUAACUAAAAAUAAAUCUACUCUUAUCUUCCUUUUUUGGGGUAGGAGGAAAACCCGGGAUAUUUCACAACAGGCCAUUUCUCCUUGCGUAGAGAAUCGAGCAAUUCUGAUCCAACAUUUAAGUUGCUUUGAACUAAUUCUUUAGGAGUCAGUGCCAUCCAUUGAUUCAGCGACACGUCUUCAAAGCGGUCGCUUUUGAACAUCUCUAAAAACCAUAACGUUUCGGUACCGGUGUUUUGAAUAUAGUGUCCAGUAGCAAAGGGUACAUAUCCGACAUCACCAGCUCUAUAAUCAAAUGUACGAGCUGCACCGUUUCCAGUAAAUACAGUCAUUCGCCCUUGCCCGGUAAGGUAAUACUGCCACUCGUCGUUAUUGGGAUGCCAAUGUAGUUCUCUCAUUCCACCAGGCUCAAUCUCAACGAGUGCUGCUGCGAUUGUUUUUGAAAUUGGGAAGUUAGAAGAGUCCACAAUUCGUACGCUACCACCAGGCGUUUUGAUUGGUGUUUGUUUCAACAGCUCGUGCUUGAAGGUUAAAGGAACUUCUCCGUAGGGUGACUGGACUUCCUGAUUAUCAAGCGAACUGGGUACCUCUCCCUGAUAAAUAUAGACCUGAUCUGAAGGAAGAGAGUUAAAAGCACUCUCUGGUACUCCGAAAUUGGCCGACAGAACAUCUUUUGGAGUAUGUGCAAACCAGUCGGAGAUGGAUAAGGUGGAAAGAUCGGAAAAGUUUCCGUCAUCGAAGACGAGCAGAAAUUCGCAAUGUUCCAACCCUUGAAUCGAAUGUGGGAUACCUGGAGGAAAGUACC